This is a long non-coding RNA of Gossypium raimondii (Peruvian cotton), 7867 nucleotides long. RefSeq lists it as uncharacterized. The transcript has 2 exons. NCBI's taxonomy places the organism in Eukaryota, Viridiplantae, Streptophyta, Magnoliopsida, Malvales, Malvaceae. The record is from RefSeq and is a predicted model, not a curated record.
GUAGUUUCUCUUCCGAAAAAACAGAAGUAGAUAGAAACACGCGCAAAGGACCUUUCAUUUCCUCUCAUUCCGAUAAAAAAGCCCCCAAGAAAUCCAGAAUGAUGCUAAUGCCCUAUCUCAGCCCACCGAUUGUCUUUCUCCGCCGCCUUCCACACUGCCUCAAGGAUUCUCUCCAUAAGAUAAGUGGUUUCACCCUUGAUAGAUCCUUCUUUUGCUAAACUGUGUGCUGUCACAUUUGUAUUUCUUCCCACAAAACUGAACCGGCAAUCCACAAAGCCUCGACUUGCCCUUUUUCACAUCUUCAACAAUAUGGCUUAUUUUUGAAACAUCCUCUUUUUCAUUUUGUAGUUUUUUCACCAUUGUGAGACUAUCCCCUUCCAAUAUCACUCUCUAGAAACCGAGAUCUAGGCCCAUUUGAACCUCUUGGAGGCAUGCAAUCGCUUCACCCGCAAAAGAGGAAGAUGACCUUGAAAAGAAGUGUCAAAAUUGAUCUUCACAAACAAUCGUUCAGGUGGCUGCCAUCUCACCUGUUGGACAUAUCCGGCAGAUAAGUGACCCUUAAUCUCCUCUAAUUCUUUUAAAUACGAUACUAUGAAUUCAAUCGUAUUUAUAUUUUGUCUGAUUUUCCUUUCAUGCACUUGUUUGUUCCUGUCGCCCCAAAUCACCCAAAUGGCACAAGUAAUUAGGCUGUGUAAAUAUGAUAAAGAAUUCAUGAAUAACUAGUCCAUCCACUGUUUGUAACUUGCACAUGACAUUUCUGUAGGCCAAGUAAUAUUUAACAGACUCCAGAUCUCCUUGACAGCUUGACAGUCACGGAAAACAUGUUCCAAAGACUCAUCUUUCUAUGUACAUCUAGGACAAGCAGUCAAAUUUCGCAACCUUCUUUUUUGUAAAUUUUUUAAAAUAGGGACAGUUUUUGUAGGCUUUCCAAAAUGUAAUUUUAUUUUAUUUUCUAUAGCUCUGCUAGCCAUAUUUUCUUGUAUACCUGCCUAAAUGUAGUCUAAUGUAAAUUAGGCUCCACUUCAACAGACUCUAUCAAUAAUAGCUUGUAUCCACUUCUAACUGAAUAUUCUCCCGAGGUCUCACCUCUCUAGGCUUGUUUGUCCUUUUGCCAGUGAUGAGAAAGAGGAAUACUUAAGACUUUCCUCGCCUCAUCUACAGACAUUAUGUGAGCAAUAAGAUCUUCUUUCCAUCGUCUAGAAUUUGGAUCUAACAAUUUAGAGACCAGAUUAAAAUUUUGUCCUAUACCAUUUUCGCGUAGCCUAUAAUUCUCCAAUUCUGACACCUAAGCAUCUUUCCAUAUCAAAAUUUUGGAUCCAUAACGCACCCUCUAGCACAUCCCUGACUUGAACAAUCCUUUUAAUUCAGAUAACAAGAUAAAUGCCACCCUUGCUUUGCUAAUAAGGCUGUAUUAAACUUGGAUAAGCUUUGAAACCUAGACCUCCUCAUCUUUUAACAAGCAUAAUGAUUUCUAAUCACACCAAUGAAUGCCUCUUUUAUUAUGACAUUUUUGCCACCAAAAUUUAGUAAUAAUUUGUUCCAUUUCACCAUAUAAUGAAUUCAGCAAAAGAAAGCACGACAUAGUGUAAGUAGGAAUUGCUUGUAUAAAAUACUUUUAAUAAAUACAUGUUUUCCUCAUUGUGAGAGAGGUCUAAUGCACUAAUUGUGAAUUCUGUUUGACAAUCGAUCCUUCAAGUUCUGGAAAGCGUUUUUCCCCUUUCCCACCAUAUUUAGAAGGCCUAGAUAUGCCUUAGGCUUUGCUGAAUAACGAACUCUAAAAGUUUGAGAAAUCAUGUCUUUCUUUUGAUUCGAACAGUUAGAGCAAAAAAAUAAUAGCGAUUUCUCAAAGUUUAUAUAUUGGCUCGAACAUUCUUCAUAUUCCUUAAGUCCCUCCAUCAAAGUAGCCACUUCUCUAUCAACAACUUUCUCAAAUAAAAUGUAAUUGUCAGCAAACAUUAAAUGAGAUAUACUGGACCCCUUUUAUAGGCUUUGACCCCCUCAAACUCUUAUCUUCAAUAGCUAGUCUCAUUAUAGUUUAUUGGCCUUCGCUGCAUAUCAAGAACAAAUAUGGGCUUAGUAGGUCAACUUGACGAAGCCCUCUGGAUGGUUUAAAAGAACCACCAUCGAUGCCAUUCAUGUUAACUGAGUAAGAAACUGAUGAAACACAAUGCAUGAUCAGCUGCACCCAGGAAUUUGCAAACCCCAUCCUUUCCAUCAUACUCUUUAGUAAUCUUCACUCAACUCUAUCAUGAGCUUUGCUCAUGUCCAAUUUUAGAUCUAAGUAUCCCUUAUUCCCCAAAUGUCUCACCUUUAAAGAAUAAAAGAUUUCAUAAGCCAACAAUACAUUGUCUAUGAUCAUUCUAUCAGGAACAAAAGUGAUUUAAGCAACGUCAAUGCACACAUUCAGCACUUUCUUAAGACGAUUGGCAUUGUUUUGGCUAAAAUUUUGUAUAAAAGGCUAAUCGGCCGAUAUUGCAUUAGAUUGUGAGGCUGAGCAUUUUUAGGGAUCAAAACAAUAAGAGUGGAAUUUAUGGAUUCCAAAGAUUGCCCACCAUUUAGGACCUUAACGCAAAAUUUACCCACAUCGUUACCCACUACAUGCCAAUACUUCUAGUAGAACAGAGCCGGAAAACCGUCUAGACCAGCCGCCUUUGUUGGACCCAUCUCCUUUAACGCAACCAUAAGAACCUUCAUUUUAUAUUCUGCCGUUAAUUCUUAAUUCAUUGCUUCCAUUAUGUUUCGUUUGACCUCUGACAGAUUAUGUUCAACAUUACCAACCUUUUAAGUUUUGAAUAGAUUAGUAAAAUACUCUUUCCCUUCCUCGGCCAUCUUAUCAUGUUUGUCACAACCAUAUCAUUAGACCUUUUCAACUUGCGAAUACAAUUGAUGUCUUCUUUAGGAAGCAAACUAGUGAAAAAAUGUAAUAUUUUGAUCCCCCAUCUUUAGCCAAUUCGCUCUAGUGUCACAGGGCUAGAGUUUUCUCUUACGAUCCGUGCGGCCUUAGGCGAUCUGUUCGUCCAAACUCGCCUAAGUCAGUCUUUACUCGAGUGAUGAUUCUUAAAGAAUUCAUCCAAGGCACCAAAUUGAAGAGCGGAAGUGAUUUAUGCCAAAAGAAGCUAAGCCAAAGAAUAACAGAAAGAGCGCUCGCAAAGUGUUUGAGUAAAUGCUCUCAAUUCUCUUAUUCACAAAGAAUAAUGAAACAAUCAAUGGAGUGAGUACAACUGAGGGGGAGGCUCUCUAUUUAUAGUUGAGCUCCCUCAAAACCGACGGUCAAGAUACAUUUUCAUCGAUGGACGAGAUUUGCCAUAUCCUUUUAUUUUAGGGAUUUACAAGAUAUGUCAUAUCAAAUAUAAUCUAAUCUUUACAAGAUAUGAUUUUCUCUAUCUUCAAAGAUUAGUUACCAUAUUAGCCUAAGUUGCCAUUUCUUUCUUAUCGGGCCAAUCAAGCUUCAAUUUGACAGGCUUUUCUAAUAGUUCUUUGAAUCGGGCUAGUUCUCGUAGAUCAAAUGAUUCUCAUCUGAGUAAUAGACCUCCAUUAGAUGCAUUUGGUGCGAUGGUCACGGGCUUUGAACUGCGGCCUGUGACACUAGAGCAUUGCUCCCGAUAUGCCUCUUUUCUGUCCAUCUCCAUAUUUAACAAUAAUUUUGUGUUAAUGAGAUCAGUAAUAUUAUCAUUCGUCCUAUCCUCUCUGUUGAGUUCUUCAAUUCGCUUCCAAUAAUUAUUACACCCAUCUUCAUAUUUUCUCAUCACAAGACUCUUCUAAAGUCCACCAAGAUUCGAAUCUAAACUAUUAUACACAUGAUUCUUUUCUUCAAAAUUUGUGGAUAUAAGUAGUGGGCAAUGAUCAGAGAACGAGUGGGUCAAAUGCUGCACCUGGAACUUUAGGAAUAAUUGCCACCAAUCCAAAUUAGCAACUCCACAAUCUAGUCUCUCUCGAACAUUAUUAGCCUCAAAGUUGCCCCUAUCCCAAGUAAACCAGGAACUCACGUAGCCAAGAUCAUUCAAUUGGCAUUCAUCUAAGGCAUCUCGAAAGCUUUCCAUUCGGCCACUCUCUUGGGAUACCACCAUUCUUCUCAAGAGAAUAAAGAAUUUCGUUAAAAUCUUUGCCCACCAUCCAAAGGAGGUUGUUCCCGCACCUUAAGAGUCUUAAAUAAAUUCUAGGUGUCCUCCUUAUACCGAACAUCCGGAGUGCCAUAAAAAUUGGUAAAUCUUCAUGUCAUCCUCUCCGUCCCAUUAACUACCUCAACAUCAAUAUGAGUUUUAGACACGCUAAAUGCUCAUAUUUUCCUUCCACCUAAUAUAUAAUCCUCCUCGGGAACCAUCCACCAGCAUAUCUAUAUCAGAAAGAAAACCACAUUUUCUCCUUAUCACCUUCAUUUGAUUUGAAUCUAAUUUCGUCUCCAUAAAGAAGACUAUAUGAGGAUUAAUUUUCGUCUCCAUUCCUUCAUUUUCUUCCAUAACUACUCCCUCCUGUUUAGUAGACCGUCCAGAAAAAGAGCUACCUUCCAAAUUGAAACAAAGAAUAUGAUUUGUUUUGACCCACUGAUUAUAAAACAUUCUCUCUUGAUUAACAUUCCUCUAAUUGCCCCCAUAUUCCUCUCAUCAACUUCUAUAAUUGUUACCUCCAUUGUCUUUCCGAAGCCAUACACUGGUUGCAAUUGUCGCCUUUCGAAUCGGAGCUCUUAGAGCUAGAUCCCAUCCAAGUGUCACGAGCUGAAGUUUUAAAGCCUGUGACCAUCGCACCAAAUGCAUCCAAUGGAGGUUUAUUACUCAGAUGAGGAUCAUUUGGCCCACAAGAACUGGCCUGAUUCAAAGAGCUAUUGGGCAAGCCUAUCAGAUUGAAGCCUGGUUGGCUCGAUAAUGAAGAGAUAGCAACUUAGGCUAAUAUGGUAACUAAUCUUAGAAGAUAGAAGGAAUCAUAUCUUAUAAAGAUUAGAUAAGAUUUGAUAAGGCAUAUCUUGUAAAUCCCUAAAAUUAAGGAAUAUGGUUUAAUCUCACCUGUAGAUGUAAUUGUACUUGACCGUCGAUUUUGGGGAGCUCAACUAUAAAUAGAGAGCCUCCCCAUCAGUUGUACUGACUCCAUUCAUUGUUUCAUUAUUAUUUGUGAAUAAGAAUAAUAGAGAGCAUUUACUCAAACACUUUGCAAGCGUUCUCUAUUAUUUAUUCUUCUUUUAGCAUAAAUCGCUUUCGCUCUUCAAUUGAUGCCUUGGAGGAGUUCUAAAGAAUCUUCACUUUUGGGCGUAAAGGUUGACUUAGGCGAGUUUGGAGCAAACGGAUCGCCUAAGGCCACAUGGAUUGCGAGACGAAAGGUCUAGUUUUGUGACAAGUGGUAUCAGAGCCAGGAUUGAGCCAAGUGGUAUCCGAGCUGUUGGUUUGAACCAAGUGAUAUCUGAGUUAUUGGUUCAAAGGCACCGUUGGGAUGUCGAGAUAAGAGUUCAAAUAAAGGUGGCCGAGGAAGUCUUUGAGGGAGACAUUGUCGGCAGUAGAGCAACGUGUGGGUAAACUUGAGGGAUCCAUGGAAGAUGUAAAGGAGGCAUUCGAUGGGGUCGAGUAUCGCAUAGCAAACUGGAAGGACCAGUCCAGAGACUGUAAAGAUGUCUCUUAAUUCCACCAUGGAUAAGGUAAACGAGUUGUUUAAUUCUCACAGAGAUAGGCUAUCGGAAAGGAAUGAUGCUCUCGAGGCCAUGAUGAUGGCUUUGAAAGAGGAAACAAUGGCCACGAUGAGGGCUUUGAGCACAAGAAUAAAGGAGCUGACAUUAUGUUGACUAGCCAUGGGAAAUGGAGUGGCAAAUGUAGUACUCAGUAACGAGGAUGUCUCGAAGCCGAAAGAGUUUGUGGGGACAAGGCCUGCAUGCGAUGUGGACAAUUUCUUGUGGAGGAUGGAAAACUACUUCCGUGCCAAAGGCAUCAUGGAUGAUGCGGUUAAGGUAAACACUGCUCCAAUGUUUUUUAUUGACAUUGCAUUUUUAUGAUGGCGAUGUAGGACCACAGAUAAAACGCAAGGUGAGAUUGAGACGUGGCAAGAGUUCAAAUGCGAGUUGAAGGGGCAAUUUUACCUAGAAUUUGCUGAGGAAGAAGCUCAGGCAAAGUUGGAAGGGAUAACGCAACGGGUCAAAAUGGGGGAGUAUGUUUGAGAGUUCAAGGAACUCAUGCUCCAAGUUUCAGAUGUGACUGAGGAAGAAGCAUUGCUUGCUUUUCAGAAGGGAUUGAAGCCGUGGGUCAGAUAGGAGGUGGAACAAAGAGGUGUCCAAAAGCUGUCGGAAGCCAUGACGGUAGUUGAGUCCGUGGUCAAGCUUGGUCUAGGGAAAAACAAGUUUGGGUCUUCCAAGUCCGAGGAAAGGGGUGUAUGUGAAAUGGAUAACAAGGAAGAUAUUGUUGAUGGCAAUGACAACGGUGACCAUGGUUGUAAUAGGAAACCACGAGUUGGAAAGAAGAAACCCAAGAGGUAAAGGGACAAGUUGAAAUGCUUUCUUUGCGACAGUCCACACAUGUUAAAGAAAUGUCCGAAGAAAUUCGCGCUUAAGGAGAAGUUGGUGGGUAAGGCCUUAGUACUUGGUUCGAGCGCAAGGGGUGUCGAAGCUAAGGAGGUCGAAAGCGAGAAGAAGCCAGUGGAGUGCUUCUUGUGUCAUGGUCCGCAUAGGUUGCGGAAGUGUCUAAGGAAGUCUAUCAUCGAGGGGAAUGAUGAAGUGGACAGGGAGCCCAAGAAGCUUGGUUCGAGCAAGGGAAAAGUCGAAACCAAGAGGGCAAAGAGGAGCAAAAAGAAGCGAGUAAAGUGUUUCUUGUGCCGUGGUUCGCAUGAGUUGCGAAACUGUCCAAAGCAAGUCGGAGUCAAAAGAAAGGCAACGUUUGAGCUUGGUGAGUCAUCGGAGGGGCUUCCACCCAAGGAAGUGUGAGUUUGUCAUCGGACUUAAAGUAAAAAGUUACGAUAAAAACAGUGAAGCUGGGACAAAUGAGGCUCAAGUUGAGUGAGUCGUUGGAGUUUGCUGAGUCAUCGACAAGGUUUUCACCUAUGGGAGAGGUGGGUGGUACAUCGGAAAGAAGUGAUGCAUGUGGGACAGUUGACCAGAGUAAAUGCAAAGGUAUAUUUCGAACACUGUGAUAGUGUUUUGUAUUCUAACUUGUUAAUUUGGCAAGAACGUAGGGGCCCUUUCGAAGUUCUUAAGCAAAGAGGCCGAGAGAUUGUGGGCAAAGUAAAGCCAAGUGUGGUGAAUUAAGAGGAUUCUGUUCGAGUCAAGUUAGAAUGUUGACAAGAGAGUGAUAUAACUUCUUAUCAUCGAGAUGUACAAACGAGUAGGACGGUUCGAGUUAAGAAGCGACGUAAGCCGAGGUAAAAGUCCCAAAAGAAGGGGAAGGCUAAGGCGUUGAGACGAGACCGAGGCGAAUCCAGUCAGUGCCAUUUGGAAGUCGCAAUGAUGACGUUGCGAGAAUGGGUAGGGGAGAAUGUCAUGGGUCGAAGUUCAAAGCUCGUGACCAUCACAUCAAAUGCAUCCAAUGAAGGUCUAUUGCUCAGAUGGGGAUCAUUUGGCCCAUAAGAACUGACUCGAUUCAAAGAGCUAUUGGACAAGUCUGUCAGAUUGAAGCCUGUUAGCCCGAUAAUGAAGAGAUGACAACUUAGGCUAAUAUGGUAACUAAUCUUAGAAGAUAGAGACAAUCAUAUCUUGUAAAGAUUAGAUAAGAUUUGAUAAGACAUCUUGUAAAUCUCUAAAAUUAAGGGAUAUGGUUAAUCUCAUCCGUCAAUGUAAUUGUAUCUUGACCGUCGGUUUUGGGGGAGCUCAACUAUAAAUAGAGAGCAUCCCCCAGUUGUACUGACUCCAUUCAUUGUUUCAUUAUUCUUUGUAAAUAAGAGAAAUAGAGAGCAUUUACUCAAA